This 22-nucleotide microRNA is filed under the name Hordeum vulgare. RNAcentral's name for it is "hvu-miR6201". Lineage: Eukaryota; Viridiplantae; Streptophyta; Magnoliopsida; Poales; Poaceae. RNAcentral also lists the same sequence under 2 other names. The record is from miRBase by way of RNAcentral.
UGACCCUGAGGCACUCAUACCG